UUUGUUCAGCAGUUUUCAGCACAACAGAAUUGCCACAUGCUAACGCAGGCCCUACUUUCCAUGCAAACAUUAGCAAAGGAAAAUUCCAUGGUAUGAUCUGCCCGGCAACACCAAUUGGUUCAUGCAGUGUCUGGACAUGAUAGGGCCCAUCAGCAGGAACUGUGAGGCCAUGAAUCUUAUCGGCCCAACCUGAAAUUAACAACUUAAAAAAUCUUAAUAAUCUAGUGAAAUAAAUAUAAAAAAAGUAAGUAUCAGAAACCCAGAGAGAUAGUCCUCACCAGCAUAGUAUCUGAAAAGGCGUGCUAGUACUUCUACUUCACCAAUUGCUUGUUCAUAAGUCUUCCCAUUGUCCCAAGUUUCAAGAGCAGCAAGUUCAUCAGUGUUUUUCUCAACCAAAUCAGCCACACGCAACAUUAUCCGUGAUCUUUCCUGGAGAAAAAGAUAGACAGGAAGAAUUAUAUGCUUCGCAACAUAAACAAUACAAGCAAGGUGGAAUACAAGAGAAAAAAUCUGUGAUAGCAACAUAACCAAUGGACAAAAAUGGUUUGCACUGUGUUUACAUAGGCAGUCAUUUUUGGCCAGGGUCCCUCAUCAAAUGCUUUGCGGGCUGCAGAAACUGCACGAUCGACAUCUUCACUUU
This 640-nucleotide long non-coding RNA is filed under the name Daucus carota (carrot). RNAcentral describes it as "long non-coding RNA (DCAR_LNC002299)". Lineage: Eukaryota; Viridiplantae; Streptophyta; Magnoliopsida; Apiales; Apiaceae. The record is from RNAcentral.